UACAGAGGGUGCGAGCGUUAAUCGGAGUUACUGGGCGUAAAGGGCGCGUAGGCGGUUUAAUAAGAUUGAUGUGAAAUCCCUGGGCUUAACCUAGGAACUGCAUCGAUGACUAUUGAGCUGGAGUAUUGUAGAGGGUGGUGGAAUUUCCGGUGUAGCGGUGAAAUGCGUAGAUAUAGGAAGGAACACCAGUGGCGAAGGCGACCACCUGGACUGAUACUGACACUGAGGUGCGAAAGCGUGGGGAGCAAACAGG
Molecule: ribosomal RNA, 253 nt
Filed under: uncultured bacterium
Lineage: Bacteria
Description: partial 16S ribosomal RNA
Rfam family: Bacterial small subunit ribosomal RNA
Source: RNAcentral